RNAcentral lists this ribosomal RNA (460 nucleotides) under uncultured bacterium. Its description in RNAcentral is "partial 16S ribosomal RNA". It matches the Rfam family "Bacterial small subunit ribosomal RNA", at positions 338 to 795 of the family's 1533-position model. The record is from RNAcentral.
CCUACGGGUGGCUGCAGUGAGGAAUAUUGGUCAAUGGACGAGAGUCUGAACCAGCCAAGUCGCGUGAAGGAUGACUGCCCUAUGGGUUGUAAACUUCUUUUAUAUGGGAAUAAAAUGUUCCACGUGUGGGAUUUUGUAUGUACCAUAUGAAUAAGGAUCGGCUAACUCCGUGCCAGCAGCCGCGGUAAUACGGAGGAUCCGAGCGUUAUCCGGAUUUAUUGGGGUUAAAGGGAGCGUAGGUGGAUUGUUAAGUAAGUUGUGAAAGUUUGCGGCUCAACCGUGAAAUUGCAGUUGAAACUGGCAGUCUUGAGUACAGUAGAGGUAGGCGGAAUUCGUGGUGUAGCGGUGAAAUGCUUAGAGAUCACGAAGAACACCGAUUGCGAAGGCAGCUCACUGGGCUGCAACUGACGCUGAGGCACGAAAGUGUGGGGAGCAAACAGGAUUAGAUACCCGUGUAGUC